UAUACACCUUUACCCAGUCACUUCUCCUAUGAGCUACAUUACCUCAUCAAAAACAUGUUCAAGACUAACCCUAAAGACAGACCAUCAGUACACACAAUCCUCAGCUCUCACCGUGUGUCUCGACUGCUGCAUAAACACUUGGUGCCAGAGAAUAAGGAACUGGUGCAAGAACAACACACCACUGGAGGAGAGAGAAAGGAGAGGAAGUGGCCAUGUUUUUAGGACAGAAGAGUUUAGUGAUCACAACUACCACUGAAGGAACUAUGCAAGUAGAACAGUCCACUUUGGAAAACAACUGCAUUGAUGACCCAGCUUCUCGUAAGAGAUGGGCAGU
Puntigrus tetrazona (Sumatra barb) is the source of this 334-nucleotide long non-coding RNA. RefSeq lists it as uncharacterized. Lineage: Eukaryota; Metazoa; Chordata; Actinopteri; Cypriniformes; Cyprinidae. The transcript is spliced from 3 exons. The record is from RefSeq and is a predicted model, not a curated record.